AUGAUGGAGAAAAAGGAACCCUGCAAAGAGUAUCCACCAAAAUCCAAGCAAGCAAUGGGAGAGAGAGAAAGAAGAAAAAAAGGAAUGAAGGAAGCAGGAGAGAAGAAGAAGAAAAGGAGGAGGAAAGAAAAAGAGGAGGAGGAGAAGAUGAAGAAGAAAGAAGAAGAAGAAGAAGAAGAAGAAGAAGAAGAAGAAGAAGAAGAAGAAGAAGAAGAAGAAGAAGAAGAAGAAGAAGAAGAAGAACAAGAAGAAGAAGAAGAAGAAGGAAGAAGAGGAAGAAGAAGGGGGAGGAGGAAAGAGGAAGGAGGAAGAAGAAAGGAGAAAGGAGAUGGAGGAGGAGGAGAAAGAGAAGGUGGAGAGGAGGAAGUCAGACUCAAAGAGUUUAGGCCUUUUAGAGAAAUACAGUUAAAACAAGUAUUCCAACCAAAACAGACUACCUUAACAGGUUUGCUCUGAAGUGCAAUUAAGAUAAUGGGAUAAUGACCAAGGCCAUCUGGAGAAAGCUUCAAGAAUUUGUUUUGUUCUUUUUUCCCAUCUAUUUGUCAGUACCAGGUGCUUCUGAUGGAGUGGUUAGGCCAAGAAUCUCCUUUCCUGAAAGUCCUUACUUUCGCAUCACUUAAAAGCCUGGAUUGAAAUGUUUACAUUUCCACUUACUAGUUUAGCUGUGCUAACUUACACGAUUGCCUUAAUUUUUAUGAGUCUUAGUUUCUUCGUCUGUAUAAUAGGAGAGUUGGGCCUGAUGGUUUUUGAGUUCCCUUUUGGUUCUAGGUCCUAUCUGCCUCUACUUUCAUAGGGUCACUGGUAUGUUUUUUCAUAUUUUAAUAUUUCGGGUGUUUUCAUGGGCUCGGUUUCAAUAAGUGAAGAAAAAGUCAGGCAGCAUUCUAUCAAUAGGAAGUAAAUGAAACUCUAAAUCUACUAUCUCAAAAUCUCACCAGAACGGCAGAUGACAACCUCACUGACUGCUGAUUUUGUCAAGGAGAAAGCUUUUACAAGUUUGACAGGAGAAAUCCUUAUUUCAGAGUAGCUUCUGACUCACAAAUGGCCCCAUGUAAAAUUAUAAGAGUUGGAAAUCUAGGACUUAGGACACAUAAUCCUCUCAGAUCUCAACACCUCCCAUCAAUCAUUUACAAGGAGCAGUGGUAUAAUAUCCAGCUGGAGCCUCAUAGAAAUAACUCCUACUUUCUGGUCAUCCAGAAGAGACUGGAUUCAGCUCGGCCUCAUCCAUCAACCAGAAAAUUGUGCCAGUCACAGACUUUCCAUUCAGCAUAAGGCCUCAGUUCUUAAAAGACCAUUACUCCUUUCCCUGGAGAAUUUCUCUGCAAAAGCAUUCUCUUAGGUUAGUGGUAGGGUGAUUGUUUUAUAAGUGAAUGAAUGAAUGGAUGAGUGGAUCAUUGCCCUGUACACGGUAGGAAAUGUGCUCUUGUCUGCUCAUGCACACAUUGCAGGCAUUAAAUCAAUGAUUAGUUAAUAAUUAUUGAAUCAAUAAAUAGAUGAGCACAGUGGAAUGGGCCA
This 1512-nucleotide long non-coding RNA is filed under the name Monodelphis domestica (gray short-tailed opossum). Its description in RNAcentral is "lncRNA (ENSMODG00000039404.1)". The record is from RNAcentral. Lineage: Eukaryota; Metazoa; Chordata; Mammalia; Didelphimorphia; Didelphidae.